GGGGGGAGUGUGCAAUGUGCAGUUGACUACACAGAGGCGAGAGAGAGAGAGCGAGAGAGAGAGAGAGAGAGAGAGAGAGCAGCCCGCCGGCCCAUUGAGGAAAGAUGGCUACAGUCACUGCAAACGGAGUGCAGCAAGAGAAUGGAUUCAGCACCACGAACAGCGCCGGCAGGAUGAACGGGCUUACCAUCGGCCAGAACACCAUUCCAAUGAAGGACCACGACGCCAUCAAGCUUUUCAUCGGGCAGAUUCCCAGAAACCUGGAGGAAAAAGACCUGAAACCCCUGUUUGAGGAAUUCGGAAAGAUAUACGAACUCACUGUUCUGAAAGACAGGUUUACGGGAAUGCAUAAAGGAUGUGCCUUUCUAACAUACUGUGCCAGAGAGUCAGCACUGAAGGCCCAGAGCGCCCUCCAUGAACAGAAGACUCUGCCAGGGAUGAACCGGCCCAUCCAGGUGAAACCUGCUGACAGCGAAGGACGAGGAGAAGACAGGAAGCUGUUUGUUGGGAUGCUCGGCAAGCAGCAAAGUGAGGAUGAUGUCCGGCGGCUGUUCGAGACCUUCGGCCAGAUUGAGGAGUGCACCGUCCUCCGAGGGCCUGAUGGGGCCAGUAAGGGCUGUGCCUUUGUCAAGUUCUCCAGCCAUGCAGAAGCACAGGCCGCCAUCAACAGCUUGCAUGGUGGUCAGACUAUGCCUGGUGCCUCGUCGAGCCUGGUGGUCAAAUUUGCCGACACUGAUAAGGAGAGAACCCUGCGCAGAAUGCACCAGAUGGCAGGCCAGCUCGGCAUCUUCAGUCCCAUGACCAUCCAGUUUGGGGCCUAUGGCGCCUACUCUCAUGCUGUAAGUCUCAGCCCGGCGGGGGAGGAGACGCAGAUGAUGCAACAGCAAGCAGCCCUGAUGGCAGCAACACAAGGGUCCUACCUGAACCCUAUGGCAGCCAUCGCUGCCGCACAAAUGCAGCAAAUGGCAGCUUUCAAUGUCAACGGCCUGGUGGCUACUCCCAUGACACCUUCCUCAGGCACCAGCACACCCCCAGGCAUCUCUGCCACAGCCGUGCCCAGCAUAGCCACUCCUAUUGGGGUCAAUGGAUUCAGUGCCCUCCCACCUCAAAGCAAUGGGCAGCCCACAUCCGAGCCCAUUUACACCAAUGGUAUUCACCCUUACCCAGCACAGAGUCCAACAGUGACCGACCCUCUCCAACAGGCUUAUGCUGGCGUCCAGCACUACGCAGCAGCCUACCCUGCCGCCUAUGCGCCAAUCAGCCAAGCGUUCCCCCAGCAACCAACCAUCAUUCCCCAGCAACAGAGGGAAGGGCCAGAAGGUUGCAACCUGUUUAUUUAUCACCUGCCCCAGGAGUUUGGAGACGCUGAGCUCAUGCAAAUGUUCCUACCUUUUGGCAACGUCAUCUCCGCCAAAGUGUUUGUGGACCGAGCGACUAAUCAGAGCAAAUGUUUCGGCUUUGUGAGUUUUGAUAACCCAUCCAGUGCUCAAGCCGCUAUCCAGGCCAUGAAUGGCUUUCAGAUAGGCAUGAAGAGGCUGAAGGUGCAGCUAAAGCGGCCAAAAGAUGCCAACCGACCUUACUGACUCGUCUGCUAUUCAUACCCAGGCCAAUCACAGUGUGAGGUGGCCUUUCUCCGCUAUAGCCACACACCCCCACACCUGUCAUGGGGCCAAGUUCCCUCAGCUGAUGAAGGGCCACAACACCUUAUUUCCACAAGUGCAGUAAAAGUACAAAGACUUCUUGCUCUGCUACAUAUCAUGAAGGAAGGGUGGUCCCUUGAUCCUCCUGGAAAGCCGCUGAAAGAUUGGGUGACUGAGAGAAGGAUCCCAGAGUUGUCGGGUUUUUUUGUUUGUUUAUUUAUUUUCGUUUUUCUUCGCAAAUGCCUCUUUUUUUCCUCUUUUGCUUUGGCGUCUGUGGAAGAAGAUUUUUUGCAGAGACCAACUUUUUGCUGCUGUUUUUUAGACAUGAUGGAAAAAAAAAAACCUUUAUAGACUCAUUAUGCUCAAAGCAUGCAUACUGACACAGGAUAUAGAUAAACACAGAAAACAAAUCAAACAUACACAUUUCAAAAAUGCUACACUUAAAGAAAAAAAAAGGAAAAAAAAAACUUUGUACAUGUAUAAAUAAGUGCAAAUGCCAACACAAGAACUGAAGCAAACUCAUGCGUGUGCGCACACACACACACAAAACAUACAAACACACACACCAGCCUGCUGCCAUUUUGGUUUUUGUGCCUACACAGGUGUUGUGCUCUGUGACAGGGCAAGCUCUGGAUCGAAGAAGAAAACAAGAAGAAAAGGAGAAAAGUGGAGAAUCCAGGAUAAUUUACAUGCAUCAUUCCUUAGGAAAUAGGGACCAAAGGACUAAACGCUUUUUAAAAGAAUAUAAAUAUAUAAAUAUAUAAAUAUAUAUUUAAAAACUCAUACCUUGUAGCUGCAAGUAUUACAAUUUACUCGUAGUAAAAAAAAAAACAAACAAAAACAUUAAAUCAAUAUCCAGUGGCCUACUGUAAGUAUGAAUAAAAGAACAUGGAAAUAAUGUAUAAAAAAAGACAUGGAAACGUAGUAUAGGGGCUGAUCUUUUGCUCUGGAUGCUGAUUUAGCACCAGGUUGUAGAGUAGUAGAGUAGACUAGAAAAAAAAAGUGUAGAUUUGCUAACUUUUGCUGUUGUUUAAAAAAAUACUUGAAGUUGUAAUGAAAAUGGGGCAAAAGAGGGGUGGGAUGGUGUGGGGGGAAGCAUUCAUCUGCCCCUGUACGCAACAACUCUCUUUCUCUUGGAUGUUAACGUAUCAGCCACUGGAUAUCACGCUCAUCAUGAUGUACAAGUCACCGCACUCUCUGACAGAUAUGGAGAUGAUCUUCUGGAAGAAAACAAAAGAAUAAGAAGAAAAAAAAGACUGACUUUACUGAUGUCUGUGCUGGACGGGGUGCAGAUGUUUAAGGCUUCACUGGCCUUUGUGUUCAAGCGACAAUCCACUGUAAAGACCAAGUAAAAUGGACAUGGGGUGUCUUUUUUUUUUUUUGUUGUUGUUGGCCUUUUUGUAUUGCUACAUGAAGUGUGAAAUAUGAAGCCACAAACUUCUAAAAGGAGAUGAUUAAAAGUGAGAUGGACAAAUGGAUGGUCAUGACCGAAAGAGUAAAGAGGGAAGGAGAAAAAAGUGAUAGCUAUUGUAACUGCCAGCAGAAUGUAUUUGGUUUAGUAAUGAAUUGGCUCUUGUGGUAUCAGCAUUCUCUCAAAAAAACAAAGUAUGCCCAUCAUCAGCAGCCACAAAUUUUGAGUGACAUGUCAAGGAUAUGUGUGUGUCCACUGAAGCUGCUGCAAAACUCUAGACUGAGAAAAAUUCAUUCUUGUCUGUUGGCAAAUUUCUCUAAUGAUGAAUUCAAUUUACUUCUGUAUUGCAGGAAAGGAGUGACGGCUUUUAGAGCACAUUUACCUGUGUAAUGUUAAUUCCACUGUUAACAUGCUCCCUGACCUGCGUAAUGUACACAUUAUUCAUAAAGUCCAUGGUAAAAAAAAAGUAGAGCUUAAUGGCCUCGAUCUAAGAUAAUUCUAACAGUCACUCUUAAAAUCAUUCAACUCAUCUUUAGCUACACUGACACUGAUGCCAGGCACUCCAGUAGUGUCGUGUCUUGAUUUAGAGUCCUGUAGCCUCUGUUUUUUAACAAUUUACAGCUCUGGAAGCAGGCUCCUCUCUAAAACCAGAUCAAUAUGUUUCGAGUGAGUCUAGGGGGAGGAGCGAUGCUGUUUCAGUCACCACGAGCACUUCCCAAUUUUCUCCGCCGAACACCAGCUCAAAUCCAUAUACCAGCCCUCUAAGCACUGACAGCUGGCAAGGCUAGACAGGAGCAGGGAGAGAGUGGGGAGAAGAGGGGAAGUCAAGAACUCAUCACACCGAGAUCCUUUAAGCUGAUGCUGGUAGGUGAUGCCAGAUGAUUUAACCAAAAAAAAUAGAAACCCUAAUCAAGCUCUGGUGGCAAACAGUAUACAUAAUCUAAUCAUAAUCUGUGUUAUAUGCUUUCAAAAGCAGAUUAAACAGUCAAGUAGGACCUCAAGUUAAUACUUUAGGCACCAGUCCAACGAGCUCAUGUUAAGUAAUGAGAGUCUUCUUCUCCCUCUUUUUUGUUGAACUAGAAAAUCAGACCAGAAUUGGUCCAAAUCACUAAAGAAGGGACUGAUUAAAUGUGCCAGCAGAUUUCAUAGUUUUUAAUAUACUGCCUUUGCCACUUAAAAAAAAGCUGAAGGUACUAAUUUCAGCCCUUGAUAUUAACAUUCCACGUAGCACUUCCUUUUCUCCCGUCCUUAGAGCAGCCAUGCCUUUCUAAAUCACGGCACAAUUGUUUAGCGGCUCUCCCGUUGGAGCAGCAUUUUCGAACCUACCUAAUGCCUGUGCUCACUACCCUUCAAUUAUCUCUUGCACCACAUUAGACAUGCUAUUUCACCUUUCUCCCUAAUCACACUGUAAUCAUCAGCCUCUAUACAUUAGCAGCAACCAAGUGAAAAAUCACUGGGAUAAUCACUUGGACCAAAUGACGGGAGAGAUGGUCCCCUGCAUGCACAUGGAUGACAGAAGGAAGAUUAGGGAGAAUUAUGUUUGCGCCUACUCCCUGGCAAGGCUGGUGACAGCUGACCUGGCACCAAUAAUGUAGCCGAAUUUACCGAAGAGGCAAUGCAGGAUGAGGGAUAAAACCUUCCAUAUCAUAGCAAGGUUUUAAUGUUCCAGAGUAAUUUGACCAAAAACUAAAAGAGAAGGGCAGGUAGCAAAAUUGAUUUAGUUUUUGUUUUCUAUCACAAACAUUGCAGCAAUAGUUGCUUAAAACUGGGUCAAAUCCAACAUUUUUUACUAGAAAUCCUCAAUUCUGUUACUGUUCAGCUGCAGUGAGGCCUGUUGUUGUGAAUUUUCUUUCAGCAGCAACACUGCAUCUCAGAAGAUGAUGCCUGCAAGUUAUAGCCUCAUUCAUAUAUAUAUAUCUAUAUAUAUAGAUAUAGAUAUAGAUAUAGAUAUAUAUAUAAUCUAUAUAGAUGGGUGAAUGAGGUAUGGUUGAAUAUAUAUAUCAGCUCUUAAGGACUUCUUAAGGAUUGCCUUUAAAUACUGUAAGAUAAAACCCAGCCCUCCCUCUGUCAUUUCAUUUGACAUGUGUUACUGAUAGAAGGAGCUUUGUGAAUUAAUGUGAAGUAAGUAAAAACAAAGCCAUGUUCUACAAACCAUUUAUGCUCAUUAUUUAAGUGAAGCUGAACUAAUCAAUGGGAAAUCUAAUGUUCCAUGAGCAAUGCAAUAUCCUCUGCUUGUCUUGGCCAUCUCUAGAAUACAUUUCCAACAUGAACCUUGCAUGGUUGAUCCUGUAAUCUUUUCUGUCUUAUACCAGAUGCUGUACUAGUUCCCACUACUAAUGGCAGGUUGAGUCCCCAGUGAGCCAAAACUCAGCCUAGCCUUGUAUCCUGCUGUCUGCUUGGCUAACAGUGCAGCGAUCAUGUAGCAUAUCUGCUAUGCCAGGGCUAAAUUAGGCAAUGUGAAAUCAGUACUUCAACAUUUUUAAAACGGGUGCUCCUAUUACAUUUACACUCCAGGGAGAAUGUUGCUGAAGUGUUGUGCAUUAAAAGCAGAAAUAGCUGUGAAACACUAGAACUGCACUAAAACUACCAAAAUGAGGAAAAAAAUAGAAAGAAAAUAGAUCUUCUCAUUACCCAUUUAUUAAAGAGGCUCUUGCCUGAUUUGCCCUUAGCCUGGACUGGAGACAAGAGCAGACUGAGGCUAUGUUUCACCUCUAAAAUCACAGACAAAUGUCAACCCAGCAGGCACACUACCAAGCUGUUGCCAAACUGUGAUUUGAUAUUUGCCGUCCAGCUUACAAAAAGAAAAUGUAACUAAGCGUUUUUGCCAAAAGAAAUACAUAAGAUUUGAAUAAGUUCUUAGAAUAUAAUAUUUAGCAUGCUAGGCAAAAGAAAAAAUAUAUAUGUGAACAUGAAAAAGUAUAAAUAUCCCCAAAGAGGUAAAGCUUAUCUUCUCUAUCUUCUCAUACUGCACUGCCUUUAUUUGCCAUUUUUCAAUCAGUGAUGAGCAAAAGUAAUACUUAGGUAUAGUCAGUUCUUUGUGAGCAUUUAAACCAUUUGCCUCUGGCUUAUGCACCUAGAAAUUUGGAGGUUAUAUAGUAUGAAGUAUGCCCCUUUCCUCAGUUGCCACUACACCACUUUUCACAAGAUCUGUCUGCUUAAGGAGCAUGUAUCCUUAGAGGUUCCCAGCCAAUGGCAGGGCAGAGCACAAGUCUGUUUGAGAAUGAAUCUCCCACCCCUGGGUGCAUAACACUCACCCUAAAAUAGCAGUGAUUGUCAAGGAAAGGAAGUGAAAUGUAAUUGACUGAAAGUGGAGCGAUAAUUAAAGGAACCUGUUGGACAGGAGGGAAGAAAUUAAUGCUUCUCAUUUAAUAGCUGCUUUGGGAGAAAGCUUUUUCAGCAUCUUGGUUUAACGCAGUGAGGGUUUGCUGUGGAAAUGAGAUUUUGUAUUGAAAAAGGUAGCAAUGGAAAUAGUGGAAGCAGGCACUGGGUGGUGGGGGUGCUGUGUGCUUAACUGAAACUCCACAAAAUCACUCCCAAUACUCAGGGCAUCAGGGACUAUGAUGUCAUGAUUAGUGGAGAGGUUCAGAGCCUUGCCUUACCCCUUAACCUGAAGGCAUUUGAGUAGAUAAAUAUGAGGACAGCAGAAGCUGUACGAUCACAUGUCACUGUGGGGUGUCCUGAGCCAGCAGAAGGGCUGAUGAACCACCUAAUAUUGUGCUUUGGAUUUAUAGUAUUACCAUCCCAUUCAAAGAGAAACAAAGAAACACAAAAGAUGCCAUUAUCAACCCAACACUGCACAGUGGUUUGCUGAAGGUAUGAAAUUAUGUUCAGAAACAUGUCUGAAAGAAAUGAAGACAAAGACUUUUUUUAAUUUCUUAAUGUAAAUAGACUAUAAAAUACAAAAAAACAGAGGAAGGGUGUACAGCAACUUGUGUUGAAAAGUCCAACUCUGUGGGACAAUGAUGUCAAUAUAAAAUGUAUCCACAGCAGUGCAGGGAUUUAGGAGAGUUUUAGUCCUUAUAAGCCCCUUCGGUUUGGGCUGUGAACAUGCAUCCUACAACUCUAAGUGUCUGGCCAAGGCUUAGAGAGUAUUUGACUUAGUGUCAAACCUAAGCCAUGGCCCUGAAGUGAUCCGGUAAUUAAGAUUCUGUGUACACCGACAUGUCAUGAUUUUUCUGACAGAAGAAAGAUUGCCUGUGCCGUAAUUGGAUUAGUCCAGUUGGGGCUGAUGAACAGAUAUGACACUGACAGUAGAGUUCAUCCAUCUGCAUGCUUUCCGCUUGACAGUGUGAAAAAAACCAUCAGCCAGCACCACUCUUUUUUAAAUUCUUUGGAAGUAAAAGUUGAGGCUUUACAGCAUUUAAGACGCUAGUUUUAGAAAAUAAAACUCCAGGUUACAGUGUGUUCAACAUGUACAUAAACCAUUUUGGAAUCAAACAUUUAAUACACAUGGUUUAAAAUAUACGAACACGGUUAGGUUGAGUUUAGAGGAAGGGGACAAACAAGAGAACUAUGUUGAUCCCAGCAGAACCCCCUGCUUGCUUGACCCAGUCUGACACUGCUCUCCUGACCACACAGCUGCAUUACACCUGUACAUACAAUAUAGCUUAUUUUUCAAUUCUGUUAAACAUUCUUUAUAGGCCGUACAAUAGAUCAUGUUCAAACAGAAAAAAAGAAAGAAUAGUUAAUAUAUUUCAGUGAAACUAAGAAAAGGAACCUAUGAAAUAAUUUAUCAAAAACAGAAGAUAAAAUGAUUUUAUUUCUUGCAGAGUGAAGCACGGAUGUUCAGAAAUGGGAUUUUAUACUCAUGUUUGAAAACACGUCUUUAUUUUCUCUCUUUUGUUUUGUUAUUAUCGGUUGAAGCUGGGAUAGACCCAUUGUCAUGAGGUUUAUUCAGAUGUGCUUUGAUCAUUGUUCUUUUUUUUCAUUUAAUUUUUUUGGCUGCACAAUCCCUGUGUAAAAUCCCUUGUGGAUUGGAAAGUUCAAAGAGAUUUUGUUCAAUGAAAGCUCUUACAUCAAUACAAGAAUUAGCAAACUGCACUGUAAAAGGAUGAUUGAUGGUACUGGUUUUGUGGAUUCAGAAAAAAGGGUCCUUUGCACAACUGAGGUUAAAAGGAUCAGAAUUGCAUGUUCAAACGCAAUUUUAUUUUUUGGACCUUUUGUUGUUUUAAGAAAAAAAAUCAAACUUUGCCAUCAGAUUGUUUUGGGGACUUAUGCUGCCAUAUGUCAUUAUGUUUAAGCCAUUGUUGCUUUCCUGUAAUGAAGUUCUCUCUAUGUCCUUUUCUUGCCUUAUAUUUUGAAGGGUUAAUUGCAUUUAUUGACCUGAUUUUCAUAUCUUUUUUUGUUCAUGGGACAGUUCUUCCACAGGUUGUUAUCUGAUGUGACACCAUCCACUGAAGACAUUGUGCCAAAAGUAGAUCACGCUGCUUUUCUCCAGUUUUUUGGUUUGUUAUGCGAGGAGGAAAUUCUGCCUUAAACCCAGCCUGUUCUCUCUGACAGUACUACCUGUGAACAGUGGUCAGACACGCUGUAUUCUGGGGAUGCCAAAUGUUCUUCGAAACAAACACUCUGCCAGAAUCAGUUUUGCCUCAAGCUCAUUCUGACACAAAUAAGGAUGCGGUCAUCCAUUACCAUUUCCAUUGGUUACAAGGACCAAAAUGUAAACAAACUCAGAUAACUGAGAAGUUUGCUCCAAUCAAGCAUUCAAAUGAGAGCCUUUAAAGUGUUCGUAUUUAGUCAUAGGCAAUUUUGCACCAUGAAGAUUUUUACCAUGAAUCAUUGCAUUCCCAGCUUCACAGUCUAAUUUCACUGUUGUUAUUCAUUGCCAUAAAAACUCACAAUCUAUUUAGGUAUUUAAAUUUACAGUGAAUGAAAAAAAACCUCAUUUAUUUUGUUGGGUUUUUUUGUCUUGAACAAUCUGAGUUACUGUUUUCUUUCUUUUCAUUUGAAACAGAGAUGUAAUUUGAAUUAGCAUUGGCUCUGGUCCGUUUCCCUGAUUCAGGAUGAUAUUUCCCAUAGUGCUCCUGAACUCUGUAGUUCUCUAGUUCAUUAUAUUCUGCUUAGACUAAAAUAAAGCACAGUCCUGUAGAAGA
RNA transcript from Haplochromis burtoni (Burton's mouthbrooder), 9143 nucleotides. It is a transcript of the gene named CUGBP Elav-like family member 6, with no coding region annotated. The record is from RefSeq and is a predicted model, not a curated record. The transcript has 14 exons. Lineage: Eukaryota; Metazoa; Chordata; Actinopteri; Cichliformes; Cichlidae.